GGAGCGGUAGUUAAGUUGGUUAUAACGCCGGCCUGUCACGUCGGAGGGCGCGAGUUCAAGUCUCGUCCGCUCCG
This is a non-coding RNA of Desulfovibrionaceae bacterium CG1_02_65_16, 74 nucleotides long. NCBI's taxonomy places the organism in Bacteria, Pseudomonadati, Thermodesulfobacteriota, Desulfovibrionia, Desulfovibrionales, Desulfovibrionaceae. The record is from Rfam.